GACGAACGCUGGCGGCGUGCUUAACACAUGCAAGUCGAACGGAAAGGCCUUUUCGGAGGUACUCGAGUGGCGAACGGGUGAGUAACACGUGGGUGAUCUGCCCUGCACUCUGGGAUAAGCCUGGGAAACUGGGUCUAAUACCGGAUAGGACCGCACUUUAGUGUGUGUGGUGGAAAGUUUUUUCGGUGUAGGAUGAGCCCGCGGCCUAUCAGCUUGUUGGUGGGGUAAUGGCCUACCAAGGCGGCGACGGGUAGCCGGACUGAGAGGUUGGUCGGCCACAUUGGGACUGGGAUACGGCCCAGACUCCUACGGGAGGCAGCAGUGGGGAAUAUUGCACAAUGGGCGCAAGCCUGAUGCAGCGACGCCGCGUGGGGGAUGACGGCCUUCGGGUUGUAAACUCCUUUCGCCAGGGACGAAGCGUUUUGUGACGGUACCUGGAGAAGAAGCACCGGCUAACUACGUG
Molecule: ribosomal RNA, 463 nt
Filed under: uncultured bacterium
Lineage: Bacteria
Description: partial 16S ribosomal RNA
Rfam family: Bacterial small subunit ribosomal RNA
Source: RNAcentral